Molecule: long non-coding RNA, 210 nt
Filed under: Fukomys damarensis (Damara mole-rat)
Lineage: Eukaryota; Metazoa; Chordata; Mammalia; Rodentia; Bathyergidae
Description: lncRNA (ENSFDAG00000031507.1)
Source: RNAcentral
UAGGACUCGGUAGAGCACAUGGGCCUGUGUCCACCUGGGCCCAGCUUGAGGAACUCAUGGACUGGUGCAGAGCCUAGGACUGGACAGCAGGAAAUUUGCUUUCUCCUCAGAAACUGGUUGCCUGACUGUGGAGUUGCGGACAGAGUCUGGGGCCUCCUGCGUGCUGGACAAGUGCUCCACAGCACUCCUGUGCCCUACCCCAAGCUCCCU